UACGUAGGGGGCAAGCGUUGUCCGGAAUCAUUGGGCGUAAAGAGCGUGUAGGCGGCCCGAUAAGUCCGCCGUGAAAGUCCAGGGCUCAACCCUGGAAUGCCGGUGGAAACUGUCGGGCUGGAGUCCGGAAGAGGCGAGUGGAAUUCCUGGUGUAGCGGUGAAAUGCGCAGAUAUCAGGAGGAACGCCAAUGGCGAAGGCAGCUCGCUGGGACGGUACUGACGCUGAGACGCGAAAGCGUGGGGAGCAAACGGG
This 253-nucleotide ribosomal RNA is filed under the name uncultured bacterium. RNAcentral describes it as "partial 16S ribosomal RNA". It matches the Rfam family "Bacterial small subunit ribosomal RNA", at positions 524 to 776 of the family's 1533-position model. The record is from RNAcentral.